AGCGUUUGUUUUGCAGUGAGCCAUUAUAGAGGCUCAGCAGUCAAGCACACUGUUGUUUUUCCAACCUUCCACAUCAGCCACAUCAGACAGCGAUUCUUGACCUUUGACAUGGAGGCAGGCAGACAUGGAAGAAGGUGUAGACCUUAGUGACCUGCCUGCCCUGAUGGAUUCAGACGACCAUGAAGAUGAAAUGUUAACAGAUGACCCUCUUCCUCUCUCUCCUAUGCUCCUGGCUCCUGUACCUCCCACCACCCCAACCUCUGACAGCUCAGCAUAACACCAUCACCACCACCACCUCUCAGCCUUCCAGGGUGCUCACUCUCUUCUCCAUUCUGUUACAGGUCAUUGUUAGAAGGAAGGGAAGAAAUGAAGACAUGAAGGGGAAAUGGGACUGUUUACCAAGUGUAUCUUCACAAAGAGAGACAAGAAGAAGUGCUGAGUACCUUAAUGCCUGCGGAGUAUAAAUCACUUAAGAGGCAUGAGAAUUCUGCUCUAGCUUCUCAGAAGCCUGCUCAUUCAAAGUCUUUCAUGAAGGAGUCUGCUUCUGGAUCAUCGAGUGUCCUGGACCGCCUGACUCUGUUUACUGCCACUGUCUGAAAAUUGUUUGGUAAUGUCAUCUCAGAAGCCUGUACACCAGCGGCCACUCUGGAAGUAUCAAUACUUAAAAGUCCUUGGGACAGAUCUUUCGACGAGUCUCUGAGAUUGUCCUUCUUGACUGAAGACAUAAACUCUGGUGUGGGGCUUAUAUCAGUUUUACGAUAAACAUCAGUAUAAAAAGAAACUACCUAUAGAUGGCAAAAAAUGAAUUGUUGUGGGUAAUGUAUUAUAAUAACCAAUAAUAUCAUAAUGGAGGAGAGGAGAAUUCUCUAUUGGGUGCACUAUACAACUAUUUCA
Molecule: long non-coding RNA, 894 nt
Organism: Diceros bicornis minor
Lineage: Eukaryota; Metazoa; Chordata; Mammalia; Perissodactyla; Rhinocerotidae
Exons: 3
Source: RefSeq, a predicted model, not a curated record